AACGCGAAGAACCUUACCAGGCCUUGACAUGCAGAGAACUUUCCAGAGACGGAUUGGUGCCUUAAGGCACUUUGACACAGGUGUCUAAAGCCUGUCGUCAGCUCGUGUCGUGAGAUCUUGGGUUAAGUCCCGUAACGAGCGCAACCCUUGUUUUUAGUUACCAGCAGCUUAAGGUGGGCACUCUAAGGAGAUUGCGGGGCACAAACCCGAGGAAAUUGGGGAUGACGUCAAGUCAUCAUGGCCCUUACGGCCUGGGCUACAUACGUGGUACAAUGGUCGGUAGAAAGGGUUGCCAAGCCGGGAGGUGGAGCUAAUCCCAUAAAACCGAUCGUAGUCCGGAUCGGUGUCUGUAACUCGACUGCGUGAAGUCGGAAUCACUAGUAAUCGUGAAUCAGAAUGUCACGGUGAAUACGUUCCCGGGCCUUGUACACACCG
Molecule: ribosomal RNA, 435 nt
Filed under: uncultured bacterium
Lineage: Bacteria
Description: bacterial SSU rRNA
Rfam family: Bacterial small subunit ribosomal RNA
Source: RNAcentral